This 255-nucleotide ribosomal RNA is filed under the name uncultured bacterium. RNAcentral's name for it is "partial 16S ribosomal RNA". It matches the Rfam family "Bacterial small subunit ribosomal RNA", at positions 524 to 776 of the family's 1533-position model. The record is from RNAcentral.
UACGUAGGGUGCAAGCGUUGUCCGGAAUUAUUGGGCGUAAAGAGCUCGUAGGCGGUCUGUCGCGUCGGCUGUGAAAACUCGGGGCUCAACUCCGAGCUUGCAGUCGAUACGGGGCAGGCUAGAGUUCGGCAGGGGAGACUGGAAUUCCUGGUGUAGGCGGUGAAAUGCGCAGAUAUCAGGAGGAACACCGGUGGCGAAGGCGGGUCUCUGGGCCGAUACUGACGCUGAGGAGCGAAAGCGUGGGGAGCGAACAGG